RNAcentral lists this ribosomal RNA (611 nucleotides) under uncultured bacterium. RNAcentral describes it as "bacterial SSU rRNA". It matches the Rfam family "Bacterial small subunit ribosomal RNA", at positions 338 to 951 of the family's 1533-position model. The record is from RNAcentral.
CCUACGGGAGGCAGCAGUGAGGAAUAUUGGACAAUGGGCGCAAGCCUGAUCCAGCCAUGCCGCGUGCAGGAAGACGCAUCUAUGGUGUGUAAACUGCUUUUGUACGGGAAGAAACACUCCCUCGUGAGGGAGCUUGACGGUACCGUAAGAAUAAGGAUCGGCUAACUCCGUGCCAGCAGCCGCGGUAAUACGGAGGAUCCAAGCGUUAUCCGGAAUCAUUGGGUUUAAAGGGUCCGUAGGCGGUUUAAUAAGUCAGUGGUGAAAGCCCAUCGCUCAACGAUGGAACGGCCAUUGAUACUGUUAGACUUGAAUUACUAGGAAGUAACUAGAAUAUGUAGUGUAGCGGUGAAAUGCUUAGAUAUUACAUGGAAUACCAAUUGCGAAGGCAGGUUACUACUAGUGGAUUGACGCUGAUGGACGAAAGCGUGGGGAGCGAACAGGAUUAGAUACCCUGGUAGUCCACGCCGUAAACGAUGGAUACUAGCUGUUGGGCGCAAGUUCAGUGGCUAAGCGAAAGUGAUAAGUAUCCCACCUGGGGAGUACGUUCGCAAGAAUGAAACCUUAAAUGAAAUUGACGGCUGAGAGAGCGACGACGACGACGAGGGAGGAGG